This 548-nucleotide ribosomal RNA is filed under the name Lipomyces tetrasporus. Its description in RNAcentral is "partial 26S ribosomal RNA". It matches the Rfam family "Eukaryotic large subunit ribosomal RNA", at positions 62 to 629 of the family's 3401-position model. Lineage: Eukaryota; Fungi; Ascomycota; Lipomycetes; Lipomycetales; Lipomycetaceae. The record is from RNAcentral.
AAACCAACAGGGAUUGCCUUAGUAACUGCGAGUGAAGCGGCAAGAGCUCAAAUUUGAAAUCUGGCACCUUCGGUGUCCGAGUUGUAAUUUGUAGAAGCAUCUUUUGGAUUGGUCCUUGCAUAUGUUCCUUGGAACAGGACAUCAUAGAGGGUGAGAAUCCCGUUCAUGGUGGGGAAUCCAAUUCUUUGUAAAGUGCUUUCGAAGAGUCGAGUUGUUUGGGAAUGCAGCUCUAAGUGGGUGGUAAAUUCCAUCUAAAGCUAAAUAUUGGCGAGAGACCGAUAGCGAACAAGUACAGUGAUGGAAAGAUGAAAAGAACUCCGAAAGGAGAGUGAAAAAGGACGUGAAAUUGUUGAAAGGGAAGUGCUUGAGAUCAGUCUUAAGGUUUAGUGAUCAGUCUUCCUUUUGGUUGGUGCACUCACUAUUUCUUAGGCCAACAUCAGUUUUCGCGGCAGGAUAAUGACAUUGGAAUGUGGCUCUUUCGGGAGUGUUAUAGCCUUUGUUGAUACUGCCUGCUUAGACUGAGGACCGCGCUUUUGCUAGGAUGUUGG